AUACGUAGGGUCCGAGCGUUGUCCGGAGUUACUGGGCGUAAAGGGCGCGCAGGCGGCGGUGCUGGCCCGGCGUGAAAGCCCCCGGCUCAACCGGGGAAGGGCGUCGGGGACCGCACCGCUUGAGGGCGGUAGGGGCUGGUGGAAUGCCUGGUGUAGUGGUGAAAUGCGUAGAGAUCAGGCGGAACACCCGUGGCGAAGGCGGCCAGCUGGGCCGACCCUGACGCUGAGGCGCGAAGGCGUGGGGAGCGAACG
Molecule: ribosomal RNA, 252 nt
Filed under: uncultured prokaryote
Description: partial 16S ribosomal RNA
Rfam family: Bacterial small subunit ribosomal RNA
Source: RNAcentral